RNAcentral lists this ribosomal RNA (484 nucleotides) under uncultured bacterium. Its description in RNAcentral is "SSU rRNA". It matches the Rfam family "Bacterial small subunit ribosomal RNA", at positions 26 to 521 of the family's 1533-position model. The record is from RNAcentral.
AGAACGAACGCUGGCGGCAUGCCUAACACAUGCAAGUCGAACGCUUCCGGGGCUUCGGUCGCGGAGGAGUGGCGCACGGGUGAGUAGCGCGUGGGAACCUGCCCUGUUGUGGGGGAUAACCGAGGGAAACUUCGGCUAAUACCGCAUACGCCCCGGGACUUGGUCUUCGGAUUAGGUCUGGGGGGAAAGAUUGAUCGCAGCAGGAGGGGCCCGCGUCGGAUUAGCUGGUUGGUGGGGUAACGGCUCACCAAGGCGAUGAUCCGUAGCUGGUCUGAGAGGAUGAUCAGCCACACUGGGACUGAGACACGGCCCAGACUCCUACGGGAGGCAGCAGUGGGGGAAUAUUGGACAAUGGGGGCAACCCUGAUCCAGCAAUGCCGCGUGAGUGAUGAAGGCCUUAGGGUUGUAAAGCUCUUUCGCCCGCGACGAUGAUGACGGUAGCGGGAGAAGAAGCCCCGGCUAACUUCGUGCCAGCAGCCGCGGU